RNAcentral lists this non-coding RNA (128 nucleotides) under Rhizobacter sp. Root29. Its description in RNAcentral is "ZMP/ZTP riboswitch aptamer (pfl RNA motif)". It matches the Rfam family "ZMP/ZTP riboswitch aptamer (pfl RNA motif)". Rfam says of the family: Previously known as pfl RNA. Lineage: Bacteria; Pseudomonadati; Pseudomonadota; Betaproteobacteria; Burkholderiales; Sphaerotilaceae. RNAcentral also lists the same sequence under 1 other name. The record is from Rfam by way of RNAcentral.
CGCGGGCUGCGCAACUGGCGAUGGGGCACCGGGCAUCAAGCCCGCGAGCCUGAGGUGGUGAACCACCGGGAAGCGCAGCCGGUUCCGGGUUUCCGGCACCGGUUCAGCCGUUCGCCUGGGCAGCCCUG